GACGAACGCUGGCGGCACGCUUAACACAUGCAAGUCGAACGGAGUUGAGGAGGUGCUUGCACCAUCUCAACUUAGUGGCGGACGGGUGAGUAACACGUGAGCAACCUGCCUUUGAGAGUGGAAUAGCUUCUGGAAACGGAUGGUAAUACCGCAUGAAAUUAUCUGACCGCAUGAUCGGAUAAUCAAAGAUUUAUCGCUCAAAGAUGGGCUCGCGUCUGAUUAGAUAGUUGGUGGGGUAACGGCCUACCAAGUCGACGAUCAGUAGCCGGACUGAGAGGUUGAACGGCCACAUUGGGACUGAGACACGGCCCAGACUCCUACGGGAGGCAGCAGUGGGGAAUAUUGCACAAUGGGCGGAAGCCUGAUGCAGCGAUGCCGCGUGGAGGAAGAAGGUUUUCGGAUUGUAAACUCCUGAUCUGAGGGACGAUACAUGACGGAC
This 439-nucleotide ribosomal RNA is filed under the name bacterium NE2018. Its description in RNAcentral is "bacterial SSU rRNA". It matches the Rfam family "Bacterial small subunit ribosomal RNA", at positions 28 to 460 of the family's 1533-position model. The record is from RNAcentral.